RNAcentral lists this non-coding RNA (30 nucleotides) under Mus musculus (house mouse). Lineage: Eukaryota; Metazoa; Chordata; Mammalia; Rodentia; Muridae. The record is from RNAcentral.
UGAAAUGACAUAAUUGCAUUCGCCUUCAUG